Molecule: ribosomal RNA, 497 nt
Filed under: uncultured bacterium
Lineage: Bacteria
Description: partial 16S ribosomal RNA
Rfam family: Bacterial small subunit ribosomal RNA
Source: RNAcentral
GAUGAACGCUAGCGGCAGGCUUAAUACAUGCAAGUCGAACGGUAAGGUCUCUUCGGAGUUACACGAGUGGCGCACGGGUGCGUAACGCGUAUGCAACCUACCUUUAACUGGGAAAUAGCCCCGAGAAAUCGGGAUUAAUGUCCCAUAUUAUUCUGAGAAUACCUAUCCUUAGAAUGAAAGCUCCGGCGGUUAUUGAUGGGCAUGCGUGACAUUAGCUAGUUGGUGAGGUAACGGCUCACCAAGGCAACGAUGUCUAGGGGUCCUGAGAGGGUUAUCCCCCACACUGGUACUGAGACACGGACCAGACUCCUACGGGAGGCAGCAGUAAGGAAUAUUGGGCAAUGGACGCAAGUCUGACCCAGCCAUGCCGCGUGAAGGGUGAAUGUCCUAUGGAUUGUAAACUUCUUUUAUGCAGGAAAAAUAUCCCGGUCGUGAACCGGGACUGAUGGUACUGUAUGAAUAAGCAUCGGCUAACUCCGUGCCAGCCGCCGCGGUAA